RNAcentral lists this ribosomal RNA (792 nucleotides) under uncultured archaeon. RNAcentral describes it as "bacterial SSU rRNA". It matches the Rfam family "Archaeal small subunit ribosomal RNA", at positions 85 to 879 of the family's 1478-position model. The record is from RNAcentral.
ACUGCUCAGUAACACGUGGACAACCUACCCAAGAGUCAGGGAUAACCCCGGGAAACUGGGGAUAAUACCUGAUAGGCCACGACAUCUGGAAUCGAGUCGUGGUUUAAACGUAAGGCUCUUGGAUGGGUCUGCGGCGGAUUAGGUUGUUGCCGGUGUAACGUACCAGCAAGCCUGUAAUCCGUACGGGUUGUGGGAGCAAGAGCCCGGAGAUGGAUUCUGAGACACGAAUCCAGGCCCUACGGGGCGCAGCAGGCGCGAAAACUCUACAAUGCAGGCAACUGCGAUAGGGGAACAUCGAGUGGCACCCACCAUGGGUGUCUGUCCAGCCGUCUAAAAAACGGCUGUUAGCAAGGGCCGGGCAAGACCGGUGCCAGCCGCCGCGGUAAUACCGGCGGCUCGAGUGGUGGCCGAUAUUAUUGAGUCUAAAGGGUCCGUAGCCGGCUUUGCAAGUCCCCUGGGAAAUCCAGCGGCUUAACCGUUGGGCUUUCAUGGGAUACUACAUUGCUUGGGACUGGGAGAGGUAGGAGGUACUCAGGGGGUAGGGGUGAAAUCCUGUAAUCCUCUGGGGACCACCGGUGGCGAAGGCGUCCUACCAGAACAGGUCCGACGGUGAGGGACGAAAGCUAGGGGCACGAACCGGAUUAGAUACCCGGGUAGUCCUAGCCGUAAACGAUGCUCGCUAGGUGUCACGGCAGUCGUGAAUUGUCGUGGUGCCGUAGGGAAGCCGUGAAGCGAGCCACUUGGGAAGUACGACCGCAAGGUUGAAACUUAAAGGAAUUGGCGGGGGAGCAC